CCAAUACUCUCUUCAUCCAACAAAAGAUGUCUCAAGUUUGUUAAAAUUUGGAUGUAUCUAAACAUGACAUGGUGUAUAAGUGCAUUCAAAUUUAAUCAAAGUUGAGACAUCCUUUGUUGGACGGAAAGAGUAUAUG
This is a non-coding RNA of Brachypodium distachyon (stiff brome), 136 nucleotides long. NCBI's taxonomy places the organism in Eukaryota, Viridiplantae, Streptophyta, Magnoliopsida, Poales, Poaceae. The record is from Rfam.